AUGGAUGGGAAACUACCAGACGGAGAUGAUAUUGGACAAAUCAAAAUUAGUAAAAGAAAGAAAACACUAGAAGUUCAACUAGGUUCUCAGGUUAGAAAAAGGUCUCAUUUCACUUUGCUAAAGUCCAUCCAGAAUCUUGGAAUCCUAUGUGGUCUCUGGCAAGGCCUGGGGAUGUUUUUUCAUUUGACAUACUUCAAGUAUUUUGUGGGAUACGUCCAACGACAACGAGCAGGCGGCAAGUGUAUUGAUGAGCAGCGGGAUGGUGGCAUGGAGCAGUUGAGUAGUGCUUAUAAGCUUGACAUCUUUGAUGAAUCCAGCCCAAACUGA
This 327-nucleotide ribosomal RNA is filed under the name Triticum aestivum (bread wheat). RNAcentral's name for it is "partial small subunit ribosomal RNA". Lineage: Eukaryota; Viridiplantae; Streptophyta; Magnoliopsida; Poales; Poaceae. The record is from RNAcentral.